This 265-nucleotide ribosomal RNA is filed under the name uncultured Streptococcaceae bacterium. RNAcentral describes it as "partial 16S ribosomal RNA". It matches the Rfam family "Bacterial small subunit ribosomal RNA", at positions 524 to 789 of the family's 1533-position model. The record is from RNAcentral. Lineage: Bacteria; Bacillati; Bacillota; Bacilli; Lactobacillales; Streptococcaceae.
UACGUAGGUCCCGAGCGUUAUCCGGAUUUAUUGGGCGUAAAGCGAGCGCAGGCGGUUAGAUAAGUCUGAAGUUAAAGGCUGUGGCUUAACCAUAGUACGCUUUGGAAACUGUUUAACUUGAGUGCAGAAGGGGAGAGUGGAAUUCCAUGGGUAGCGGUGAAAUGCGUAGAUAUAUGGAGGAACACCGGUGGCGAAAGCGGCUCUCUGGUCUGUAACUGACGCUGAGGCUCGAAAGCGUGGGGAGCAAACAGGAUUAGAUACCCUG